GACAGAGGGUGCAAACGUUGUUCGGAAUUACUGGGCGUAAAGCGUGUGUAGGCGGCCCUAUAAGUCGGAUGUGAAAGCCCUGGGCUCAACCCAGGAAGUGCACUCGAUACUGUAGGGCUCGAGUACUGGAGAGGUUGGUGGAAUUCUCGGUGUAGAGGUGAAAUUCGUAGAUAUCGAGAGGAACACCGAUUGCGAAGGCAGCUGACUGGACCUGUAUUGACGCUGAGGCACGAAAGCGUGGGGAGCGAACAGG
Molecule: ribosomal RNA, 253 nt
Filed under: uncultured bacterium
Lineage: Bacteria
Description: partial 16S ribosomal RNA
Rfam family: Bacterial small subunit ribosomal RNA
Source: RNAcentral